CUUGCACCGGGGAUUAGUGGCGAACGGGUGAGUAACACGUGAGUAACCUGCCCUUAACUCUGGGAUAAGCCUGGGAAACUGGGUCUAAUACCGGAUAUGACCUUCCAUCGCAUGGUGGUUGGUGGAAAGCUUUUUGUGGUUUUGGAUGGACUCGCGGCCUAUCAGCUUGUUGGUGAGGUAAUGGCUUACCAAGGCGACGACGGGUAGCCGGCCUGAGAGGGUGACCGGCCACACUGGGACUGAGACACGGCCCAGACUCCUACGGGAGGCAGCAGUGGGGAAUAUUGCACAAUGGGCGCAAGCCUGAUGCAGCGACGCCGCGUGAGGGAUGACGGCCUUCGGGUUGUAAACCUCUUUCAGUAGGGAAGAAGCGAAAGUGACGGUACCUGCAGAAGAAGCGCCGGCUAACUACGUGCCAGCAGCCGCGGUAAUACGUAGGGCGCAAGCGUUAUCCGGAAUUAUUGGGCGUAAAGAGCUCGUAGGCGGUUUGUCGCGUCUGCCGUGAAAGUCCGGGGCUCAACUCCGGAUCUGCGGUGGGUACGGGCAGACUAGAGUGAUGUAGGGGAGACUGGAAUUCCUGGUGUAGCGGUGAAAA
Molecule: ribosomal RNA, 595 nt
Filed under: Arthrobacter sp. 9AX
Lineage: Bacteria; Bacillati; Actinomycetota; Actinomycetes; Micrococcales; Micrococcaceae
Description: bacterial SSU rRNA
Rfam family: Bacterial small subunit ribosomal RNA
Source: RNAcentral